Molecule: ribosomal RNA, 254 nt
Filed under: uncultured bacterium
Lineage: Bacteria
Description: partial 16S ribosomal RNA
Rfam family: Bacterial small subunit ribosomal RNA
Source: RNAcentral
CACGUAGGGGGCGAGCGUUGUCCGGAUUUAUUGGGCGUAAGGAGCUCGUAGGCGGUGUGUCGCGUCGGCCGUGAAAACCUGCAGCUUAACUGUGGGCUUGCGGUCGAUACGGGCAUCACUGGAGUUCGGCAGGGGAGACUGGAAUUCCUGGUGUAGCGGUGAAAUGCGCAGAUAUCAGGAGGAACACCGGUGGCGAAGGCGGGUCUCUGGGCCGAUACUGACGCUGAGGAGCGAAAGCGUGGGGAGCGAACAGG